This 189-nucleotide ribosomal RNA is filed under the name uncultured bacterium. Its description in RNAcentral is "partial 16S ribosomal RNA". It matches the Rfam family "Bacterial small subunit ribosomal RNA", at positions 338 to 524 of the family's 1533-position model. The record is from RNAcentral.
CCUACGGGAGGCAGCAGUAAGGAAUAUUGGUCAAUGGACGAAAGUCUGAACCAGCCAUGCCGCGUGGAGGAAUAAGGUCCUACGGAUUGUAAACUCCUUUUGACGAGGAAGAAAGUGUUAGAUUUAUCUAAUUUUGACGGUACUCGUAGAAUAAGCACCGGCUAACUCCGUGCCAGCAGCCGCGGUAAU